CGCGCGGAGGACAAGGUGACCAGAGGGUCCCCCGGCAGCGCCCUUCGUAGAAGCAGCCAAUAGGGGAGGAGAAGCGGGAGCGCGCGGGGAAUAAAGGCCCGGCGUCGCCCCCUGCUCCCGGCGUGAACGCGUUCCGAGCCCACCAAACUUUCCGGGUCCUUGCAGUGGGCUUUCCCUGGGGGACGGGGGGCGGGGGUGUGGCUGCCCCGCGGCUCACGCAGAGCCGGGGCUGGGCGGCACGGGCACCUGGGUGACCUUGAGCGCCUCGGCCCGGAUCUUGACCGCAGUUGCCCCUCUCGGAGACUUAUUUCCUCGGUAGGCAGAGUGGACAGAAGGAGAAACAGAGCUCUUUCGUCUGCUGGGUCACUCCCCAAGGACUGGAUCAGGCCGAAGCCAGGAGCCCAGAACUCCAUCCUGGAGCUACUGCUGUGCGGGUAGCAGGGGCCCCGGUACCUGGGCCAUCCUCCCAGGCCCCUUCUCUCAGACCACCACAAAACUCCUCCUUGGGCCUUACCCCUCCCAAUCCACGGACGGUUCCCCUCCCCCGCAGGGAGCUGACUCGGAAGCCGGGGCUGCACUAGGGGCCAGGGGCCCACAGCAGUGUCACCCGCUGUGCCACAUGUCAGCCUCAUUCCCCUGCUGCCUCUGUGUGCCAGAACCGGCCCUGUGGCUUUGAUUUUUUUUUUCUUGUUUUUUUCUUUGAGAGGUGGGGAGGAAGCUUCUGCGAUGGAUUUGAAUCCUGGAUUUAAGUCCGGUUGGGCCCUUUCCCGGCCGCGUGGCCUCGGGAAGUGAGCCUCACUACCAUCCUCUGGAAAGUGGGGAUGAUUUCCGUUUCCAGCUCAGGGGAUUGGAAGAUCUCACGGGGGCCAGGCAUGGAGUAAGUGCGUUUUAUAUUCUGUUCUUUUUUUUUUUUUUGACAGGCAGAGUGGACAGUGAGAGAGAGAGAGACAGAGAGAAAGGUCUUCCUUUGCCGUUGGUUCACCCUCCAAUGGCCGCCGCGGCCGGCGCGCUGCGGCCAGUGCACCGCGCUGAUCCGAUGGCAGGAGCCAGGAGCCAGGUGCUUUUCCUGGUCUCCCAUGGGGUGCAGGGCCCAAGCACUUGGGCCAUCCUCCACUGCACUCCUGGGCCACAGCAGAGAGCUGGCCUGGAAGAGGGGCAACCGGGACAGAAUCUGGCGCCCCGACCGGGACUAGAACCUGGUGUGCCAGCGCCACAAGGCGGAGGAUUAGCCUAGCGAGCCGCGGCGCCGGCUUAUAUUCUGUUCUUACAGGUGCUCAGAGCGGGGCAGAAUACCUCGGGCUGCAGUGAGGGGGGAGGGGCUUUGAGGGGAGAUUAUUCUGGAAGGGCCUCAUUCCAGCUGAGGGCUUCCUGGAGGGGGGGCGAUCUGAACAAGACCUGAUGUAAGGAGAGGGAGGGAGGAACGAGGCAUCCAAGGCAAAGGUUUGAGCUGAAAAGAUUCUGUGUGGCACCCAGGAGCCGGGUGACAGCACAGACACUCCUCCCACACGGGAGUCUGCAGACACAGCCUCCCUCUCAGGCACACACACACACCUCUUUUUUUUUUUUUUUUUUUUUAAGAUUUAUUUGCAAAGAGGAGUUACAGAGACAGAGGUCUUCCAUCUGCUGGUUCACUCCCCAAAUGGCCACAAUGGCCAGAGCUGGGCCAGGCUGAAGCCAGGAGCCAGGAGCUUCCUCUGGGCUCCCAUGUAGGUGCAGGGCCCCAAGGAGCUGCCUUCCCAGGCGCCGCAGCAGGGAGCUGGAUCGGAAGGGGAGCAGCCGGGACUCCAGCCGGCACCCACAUGGGCGGCUUAACCAGCUGCACCACAGCACCGGCCCCCACGCACACCCUAAAGUACAGAGUCGCUUCACACAGAUACACAGCCGUAACCGGGACUGCAGCGUCAGACAAUCCCACUGAUACCCAGAACCACAUCACAGCCAGCUACAAGGUUACAGGGAGAGAAGACACACGCCUCCCAUACUCAGGAGCACAGAGAGCCACACGACUAACCAGAAACACACAGCAGGAAGGACAGUUUCAUCCACACACAGCGAGAGGGAAUGACAGCCUUCACCAACACAGGUUUACAGUUAUGUCACAGAGACCCACACACAGUCACACAAUGACGUCACCACACACACAGUCAGAAACAACAUGGGCACCCAGUGCAGCCACACACACCCCGGAUGCAACCCCACGAAAGAGUCAGCACACAGGGUUCUGGUGCCCACCAAGGCAAGGUCUUUAUGGUGGUCUAGAGGUCUGUGGGUUCAGAGAUUUGUGGAUCCAGUCCCUCCCCCUCCCUAACUCAGCACAGUUCCCUUCAUCAGGGGCCUGAGUCACCCAACGAAGUGGGGGGAGUCAGACCCUCUACCCCCCCCCUUAGCACCAAUCUGGACAGGCCACCCCCUAAAAGUGAACAGACUGAGUGGCGCCUUCCACAAAAGGGGUGAACAGAGCUGGGAGGAGGCGUUUCCUGUGGGAAGCCAAGAGCAGCACCGUCAGAGAAGGGGGCUGGGGGUCAGGGGACAGAGAGGUGGGUGGUCCUGGCCUCUCCCUACCCGUGACAUGCAGAAAGGGCUGUGCACGUGCCUGUGUGGCCGGAGACGUCUCCUCUCCUGGACUCUGAGCCCCACCCAAGGCGGCAAGGAAGCCCCUGUUCUUCCAGACAUCUGGGUUAAACCAGGCGCGCGCGUGUGGGGAGGGCUGGGGUUGAGAGUCAAAGGCAUCCCAGGGCAAUGUGAGGGAUUUGACGUCAGAGAAGCUCCUGGGCAGAGGCCCUGGAGGGUGGGGGUCCAGAAAGGGAAGACUUAAGACUCAGAGUAGGAAUUGGGGCAAGUUCAGCGGAGUGAGAAGCCCAGAGUGGAGUCAGGAGGGUGGGGUCUGGGAUCCAGAAGGCAGGGGUUCAAAGAGACCCACAGCCGUGUCCAGGGUGAAGUUCAGACUCUAGGACCAGAAGCACUGGGGAGCUGGGUUCUAGCACCACAGGACGUGAAGUUUGAAACCAGAGGCAGCUGCAGGCUGCGAGGCAGAGAAGUUUAGAGAGUAGGGACCAGAGCUAGAAAGAAGCCCCCAGACCAAGUUCUGGAGCCACAGGGAUUGGGACUUAUCCAGUCUAGAACAGAAGGAGUCUGGGGUUGUAAGCUCUAGAGGCAGAGAAACGGGUGAGGCAAGGUCCUUGAUCAGACGAUGGAAGGCUGGUUCUAGACCUGGUGUGGGUCUGGAGUGAGGGGAGGUGGACACUGUGAGGACUAGAACUGAAGGGACUUAAAGCGUAGGUCUAGAAUCAGAAGGCGUUAGCAGCUGGGGUCUAGAACCAGACAGGUGGCAGAUCAUGAGGUGUGGGAUUGAGAGUCCAGAACUGAACAGAACUGGGGCGUGGUCUGGUUCUGGAAGAACGGGUCAGGAGGGCCAAGACCUAAAGCUCAGUCCACUUCAUUGUGGUAGGGAAGAAAGUCUUGAUGUAGAAACGAAGAAGCAACUGGGCAUCGCGAUGUUUGGAACCAAGACGACUCGAAGUUAGGAGGUCUGGAUUUGGAACCACACGCAUCACAGUCUGGGAAGAUUAGAACCAACGAGAAGCCUGGAGUUGUGCGGUCCAGAACCAGAGGAAGUCAUUAGUUGUAAGAUCUGGGCCCAAAAGAGGUUAGAGGGUGUGAGACUGAGGACCAGAGGGAUUUACGAGGAGAAAUCCAGAGCAAGAGGAAACCAGAGUUCUAGAGUGAGUUCUAGAGCCGGGGGCAUGGCUGGUCACAGGCUGUAGAUCCAGAGUGCGGAGCGUGUGCGGCCCAGGAUGGGAAAGGCUGUGAGGUCUGGACCAGGCCGUGCUGUGGAUUGUGCGGUCUGGAACCAGGAGAAGGCAGAACGUUGUGCAGCCUAGAACCAGUGGUCAGGUUGCACGGUCUGGAACCAGAGGAGGGUGGAGGCGACCCCAGGAAUAGGAAGACCACAGUGGAGUCACUGCCCUGGUGAAGCUGGGGGUAGCAGGAACUCCUGAGUGGGGGGCCAGCGUGGAAGGCCGAGGCCUCAACAGCAGUCUCUGGGGGUGAGGUCUGGCCCAGUGCCUUCCCCCACUGAUACCUGAGGAGGGGGAAGGUCAGAGCGCCACAUGCUUGUGGACCUUGGGCAAUUCCUAGUGAUUCAAGACCACAUCAGAAAGAGAAGAAGAACAAAACUAAAAGAGGGACAGGGAAAAAAAUGUGAUUUCAGUUAUCCAUACUCAAAUCACGGAUCUGACCCCCAGCCCUCCCCAGCCCUGCAUCCCCAAAAUGAAGCCAAGAGUCGGAGGGAGGGUGGUGAGGUAACCACGGAUCGGGAAGUCCUGAGAGAGGAGGAGGGGGCCGAGCACCCCCUCCCACAGAGGUCACUGAGCUGAGAUCACCCCACUCGGCCCCCCAGCUUGGGAGCACGCAGAGGGGUGGGGGCUGAGGUAGGCCCAGGGCUGGCGGGGGCCGCUCAGGAGGGGGUCCCCAUCCUGUGUGCUGGCUGCCGGCUUGGAGUGUGGCUGAGGUUCUCCCGGGGGCGGGACGCGGAGCUGGCUCAGUGGGCGCGGGCCGAGCUGGCCACUGGCUGGAAGGGGCUCCCAGGCUGGGCGGCGGCGGCGUCCUCCGGGUAGAGAGAGAGCAGCGAGGGUCCCAGGCCUGCGGGGAGAGAUGGGGGGAGCCAUCAGCCCAACCUGUGCCAUCUUCCUAGCAGCCAAACGUGUCCUUCCUGGAUUCCAGCAGCCCCGAGCGCUCAGGCUGUUGAUGGCCAUGGUCAAGAAGAGCCCCAGUUCAGAGCCGGACGGCUGUCCCAGCAUGAAUCCAAGGCUUCUCGGGUGCUUGUGGUGUGAUCUGGGGGCAAAGUGACUUGACCUGGCUGGGCCUCGGUCUUCUCAUCUGUACAAUGGGCAAAUGGCACCAUCCUCUCGGGGCUACUGUGAGGAGUAUAGGAGUGAAUCUACGUGCAGCGCUUUGAGCGUCAACUGCUACUGGUGGGUGCUUAGUGAGUGAGCUUCGCACCUGCCAUGUUUAUGAGGAUUUACUCAUUCAAAAUGUACCUGCUAAUCACUUCUCGGCCUUUCGGCUAAGAUCAAGUACAAAAUAUACCCACUGUUCAUGA
Non-coding RNA from Oryctolagus cuniculus (rabbit), 5101 nucleotides. The record is from RefSeq and is a predicted model, not a curated record. Lineage: Eukaryota; Metazoa; Chordata; Mammalia; Lagomorpha; Leporidae.